Molecule: ribosomal RNA, 440 nt
Filed under: uncultured bacterium
Lineage: Bacteria
Description: bacterial SSU rRNA
Rfam family: Bacterial small subunit ribosomal RNA
Source: RNAcentral
CCUACGGGAGGCAGCAGUAGGGAAUAUUGGACAAUGGGGGCAACCCUGAUCCAGGCAUGCCGCGUGUGUGAAGAAGGCCUUAGGGUUGUAAAGCACUUUAAGUGAGGAAGAAAAGAUUUAAAUUAAUACUUUAAGUCCCUGACAUUACUCACAGAAUAAGGACCGGCUAACUCCGUGCCAGCAGCCGCGGUAAUACGGAGGGUCCAAGCGUUAAUCGGAAUUACUGGGCGUAAAGCGCGCGUAGAUGGUUUAUUCAGUUGGGUGUGAAAUCCCUGGGCUCAACCUAGGAACUGCAUUCAAAACUUAUAAACUAGAGUACGAAAGAGGAGAGUAGAAUUCAUGGUGUAGCGGUGAAAUGCGUAGAGAUCAUGAGGAAUACCAGUGGCGAAGGCGACUCUCUGGUUCGAGACUGACAUUGAGGUGCGAAAGCGUGGGUAGCA